AGAGAGAGACAUGCGCGCAUAUCAAUAAGCGGAGGAAAAGAAACUAACAAGGAUACCCCUAGUAACGGCGAGUGAAGCGGGAAGAGCUCAAAUUUGAAAUCUUAAAGGGUUUCCCUUUACGAAUUGUAGUUUAAAGAAGUGUUUUCUGUUGAGGUUUUGGUAAAAGUUCUUUGGAAUAGGACAUCAUAGAGGGUGAGAAUCCCGUAUUUGACCUUUACUUUCAACUUUGUGAUACACUUUCAAAGAGUCGGAUUGUUUGGGAAUGCAGUCCAAAAUGGGUGGUAAAUUUCAUCUAAAGCUAAAUAUUGGCGAGAGACCGAUAGCGAACAAGUACCGUGAGGGAAAGAUGAAAAGAACUUUGAAAAGAGAGUUAAACAGUACGUGAAAUUGUCAAAAGGGAAGCGUUUGACACCAGUGUUGUUUUUCUGAAAAUCAAUUAAAGAACUGUUUAUGCUAAGUUGUUUAGACUUUAUCAGCUAACUGUUUAGUUUUGAGCUUUUCUUUAAUGCACUUUUCAGUUAACAAGUCAACAUCAAUUUCUUUUGCUGUAAAAAAGCUUGAGGAAGGUGGCUUGAGAUUCGUCUUAAGUGUUUAUAGCCUCUUGCCUAUGCAGUCGGAGAGAUUGAGGUCUGCAGCGUAGAUCCUUCGGGGCUAAAUGCAUUUGUGCUAAGUUAUAGCAUUUUAUAGACAACUUGUUGACUAUGAUUUGUCUUGUAGCUUACUCGCUUAUGUUAUUUUACCUACGCUUAGGAUGUUGACGCAUGAGAUAUACGC
This 774-nucleotide ribosomal RNA is filed under the name uncultured Neocallimastigales. Its description in RNAcentral is "partial large subunit ribosomal RNA". It matches the Rfam family "Eukaryotic large subunit ribosomal RNA", at positions 23 to 646 of the family's 3401-position model. The record is from RNAcentral. Lineage: Eukaryota; Fungi; Neocallimastigomycota; Neocallimastigomycetes; Neocallimastigales.